RNAcentral lists this ribosomal RNA (396 nucleotides) under Triticum aestivum (bread wheat). RNAcentral's name for it is "partial small subunit ribosomal RNA". The record is from RNAcentral. Lineage: Eukaryota; Viridiplantae; Streptophyta; Magnoliopsida; Poales; Poaceae.
AUGUAUAUGUACGACCCAGAUAAGCGGGCCGGGGUGCAUAUGCUCUAUUUUAUAUUUUCGCUCGACCCUGGCCUCCAGGCCGAGGCGUCGCUCCGGGACUCCAGGGCUGACGGGCUCGCCGUGGGGCACGGCGGGGCCCGCCUUCAGGGAGCGGAAGGCCGUCCGAGGCAUCCGGAUCACCGUCCGCUUGGGACGACGGCGGCGAGGGGAGUCGGGCGGCGGCGGGGGCUGCAUCCUCUCCUCUCCUCUCGGCUUCGCUCGUGUGCUCGCUGCUCUGUGCUGUGGCCUCUCGCUCGCCUCGCCCCGUGUUGUGGAAGCGUGCGAGUGCAACCGACUGGAUCUGAAAUAGAUUUUUCUGUUUUGGAGGGGGCAUCUGAAAUAGAUUUGCAGUCCUAG